RNAcentral lists this ribosomal RNA (468 nucleotides) under uncultured bacterium. Its description in RNAcentral is "partial 16S ribosomal RNA". It matches the Rfam family "Bacterial small subunit ribosomal RNA", at positions 28 to 507 of the family's 1533-position model. The record is from RNAcentral.
GACGAACGCUGGCGGCGUGCUUAACACAUGCCAGUCGAACGGAAAGGCCCUGCUUUUGUGUGGUGCUCGAGUGGCGAACGGGUGAGUAACACGUGAGUAACCUGCCCUUUACUUUGGGAUAACUUCAGGAAACUGGGGCUAAUACCGGCUAGGAGCUCCUGCUGCAUGGUGGGGGUUGGAAAUUUUCGGCGGUUGGGGAUGGACUUGCGGCUUAUCAGCUUGUUGGUUGGGUAGCGGCCUACCCAGGCUUUGACGGGUAGUCGGCAUGGGAGGUGAGCCGGGGUCAAGAGGACUAAGGUACGGCGCAGACGGGAACGGGAGGCAGUGGGGGGGAGUAUUGCACAGUGAGGGGGAGCGUGAGGCAGCGACGCCGGGAGCGGGAUGACGGCCUUGGGGGUGUAAACCGCUGUCGCCUGUGACGAAGCGUGAGUGACGGUAAUGGGUAAAGAAGCACCGGCUAACUACGUG